This 66-nucleotide transfer RNA is filed under the name Pallenopsis patagonica. RNAcentral's name for it is "tRNA-Leu". The record is from RNAcentral. Lineage: Eukaryota; Metazoa; Arthropoda; Pycnogonida; Pantopoda; Pallenopsidae.
ACUGAAGUGGCAGAAUUGGAGUGCUAUAAUUUUAAGAGUUAUAUAUGAAUUAAUAUUCCUUUGGUA